RNAcentral lists this long non-coding RNA (17625 nucleotides) under Solanum tuberosum (potato). RNAcentral describes it as "long non-coding RNA (STUB_LNC010837)". Lineage: Eukaryota; Viridiplantae; Streptophyta; Magnoliopsida; Solanales; Solanaceae. The record is from RNAcentral.
UUUUUUUUUUGGUAUUCCAGGGCACCAAAUUCAUGAACUAUAACACACAAAAAGUUGAGGAUUUUGGGUAAAUCCUAAAAAAGGGGUUGUAAAUGUGGAAAUAGGCGUUACAAAAUGGUGUGAGUAUACGUGGUGGUUCCCCAACUCAUUAUGGAUUUUCUCAUAAAGUUUUUUGAGAAAACAAUUUUUAGUGCUCCGGGCGCCAUAUUCAUGGGCUAUAACACACGAAAAAUCACGGAUUUUGGGUAAUUCCUAAAAAGGGGCUUGUAAAUGGUAGGGGUUAAAAAUUGUAUGAGUAUACAUGGUGGUUCCCAACUUAUUACGGAGGUCCUUAUAGCGUUUUUUGAGAAUAAAUUUUUGGGUGCUCUAGGGCGCCAAAUUCAUUGGCAUAACUCACGGAAAUUGAGGAUUUUAGGUAAUUUCUAUAAAAGGACAUAAAUGCGGGAAUAGGCAUUAAAAAUGGUGUGAGUAUACGUGGUGGUUCCUCAACUCAAUACGGAUUUCUUCAUAAAGUUUUAUGGAAAAAAAUUGGGUGCUCUGGGCGCCAUAUCCAUUGGCUAUAUAACACCUGAAAAAUCAUGGAUUUUGGGUAAUUCCUGAAAAAGGUCUUGUAAAUGCUGAAAUUGGCGUUAAAAAUGGUAUGAGUAUGCAUGGUGGUUCUCCAACUCAUUACGGUGGUCCUCAUAAAGAUUUUUGAGAAAAAUAAUUUCGGUGCUCCUGGGGGCUCGAUUCAUGGGCUAUAUAGCACACGAAAAAUCUAGGAUUUUGGGUGAUUCCUUAAAAGGGCUUCUAAAUGUGGAAAUAUGCGUUAAAAUGGUAUGAGUAAACCUGGUGGUUCACCCACUUAUAACGAAUGUCCUCAUAAUGCUUUUUGAGUCCUAAAAAAGAAUUUGUAAAUGCGGAAAUAGGCAUUAAAAAUGGUGUGAGUUAUAUGUGUUGUUUCCCGAAUUCAUUACAGAGGUACUCAUACAGAUUUUUGAGAAAAAUAUUUUGGGUGUUUCGGGGUGCCACAUCCAAGGGCUAUAAGACACGAAAAAUUGAGGAUAUUGGGUAAUUCCUAAAAAGGGGCUUCUAAAUGCAGAAAUAGGCGUUAAAAAAAUAUUAUGAGUAUACAUAGUGGUUCCCCAACUCAUUAAAUAGGUCCUCUUAAAGUUGUUUGAGAAUUUUUUUUUGGGUGCUUCGGGGCGCCAACUCCAUGGGCUAUAACACACGUAAAAUCGAGGGUUUUGCGUAAUUCCUAAAAGGGGUUUGUAAAUGCGGAAAUAGAGGUUAAAAAUGGUGUAAGUAUACAUGGUGGUUCCCUAACUCAUUACAGAGGUCGUCAUAAAAAAAAAUUGAAAAAAAGUUUUGGGUGCUUUAGGCGCCAAAUCCAUGAGCUAUAUAACACACGAAAAAUUAAGAAUUUUGGGUAAUUCUUAAAAGAGGUUUGUAAAUAGGAAAUGGACGUUAAAAAAAUGGUGUGAGUAAACGUGGUGGUUCGCCAACUCAUUAUGGCGGUCCUCAGAAAGUUUGUUAAGAAAAAAAAUUUGGGUGCUCUGAGCGCCAGAUCCAUGGAUUACCACACGAAAAAUUGAGGAUUUUGGGUGAUUGCUAAAAAAAGGAUUGUAAAUGCGGAAAUAGGGGUUAAAAAAGGUGUGAGUAUACAUGAUGGUUCCCUAACUCAUUACAAAGGUCGUCAUAAAGUUUUUUGAAAAAAAGUUUUGGGUGCUCGAGGCAUCCGAUCUAUGGGUUAUAACACACAACAAAAUCAAGAAUUUUGGGUAAUUCUUAAAAAGAGGCUUGUAAAUGCGGAAAUGGACGUUAAAAACCGGUGUGAGUAUACGUGGUGGUUCGCCAAUUCAUCAUGGAGGUCCCCAUAAAAAAAUUUGAGAGAAAAAAGUGGGGUGCUCCAAGCGCCAGAGCCAUAGGCUAUAACACACGAAAAAAUCGAGGAUUUUGGUCAUUUUCUAAAAAAAAAAGGAUUUUAAAUGCGGAAAUAGGCAUUAACAAUGAUGUUAAUAUACGUGAUGGUUCCCCAACUCAUUAUAGAGGUCCUCAUAAGGUUUUUUGAGAAAUAAAUUUUGGGUUCUCCGGGGUGCCAAAUCAAUGGGCUAUAGCAUAGGGAAAAUGGAGGAUUUUGGGUAAUUCAAUAAAAAGGACAUGUAAAUGUGGAAAUAAGCGUUAAGAAAUGGUAUGAGUAAAACUGGUGGUUCCCAACUCAUUAAGGAUUUCCUCAUAAAGUUUUUUGAGAAAAACAAUUUGAUGCUCCGGGGAGCCAGAUCCAUAGGCUAUAACACCCGACAAAUUGAGGAUUUUGGGUAAAUCCUAAAAACGGUCAUGUAAAUGCCGAAAUAGGCGUUAAAAAUGGUUUGAGUAUAUGUGGUGGAUCCACAACUCAUUACAUAGGUCCUCAUAAUAUCUUUUGAGAAAAAAAAAUUAUUGGAUGCUCCAGGCGCCAGAUCCACUGGCUAUAUAACAUACGAAAAAUCGUAUUUUGGGUAAUUCCUAAUAAGGAACUUAUAAAUGCGGAAAUAAGUGUUAAAAAUGGUGUGAGUAUACGAUGUUGUUCAGCUACUCAUUACGGAGAUCCUUAAAAGUUUUUUUAAAAAAAAUAUUUGGGUGCUUAGGGGAACCACAUCUAUGGGCUAUAACACGCGAAAAAUCGACAAUUUUGGAUAAUGCCUAAAAAGGGUAAUGUAAAUACGAAAAUAGGCUUUAAAAUGGUGUGAAUAUACAUGGUGAUUUCCCAAAUCAUUACAGAGGUCCUCAUAAAGUUUUUGAGAAAAACAUUAAGGGUUCUCUGGGCGCCAGAUCCAUGGCUAUAACACACGAAAAAUCGAGGAUUUUGGUUAAGUCCUAAAAAGGGCUUGUAGAUACGUAAACAGGCAUUAAAAUAGUUUUAGUAUACAUGUUGGUUCCCCAACUGAUUACAGAAAUUCUCAUAAAAAAAUUUAAGAAAAAAAAUUUGGGUGCUCUGGGGCGCCAGAUCCAUGGGCUAUAACACAUGAAAAAUCGAAGAUUUUGGGUAAUUCCUAAAAAAUUUCUUGUAAAUGCAGAAAUAGGCGUUAACAAAUGUUAUGAGUAUACAUGGUGGUUCCCCAACUCAUUACGGAGGUCCUCAUAAAGUUUUCUGAGAAUAUUUUUUGGGUGCCAGAUCAAUGGGAUAUAACACAUGGAAAAUCGAGGAUUUUGGGUAUUUACUAAAAAAAUGGAUUAUAAGUGCGGAAGCUUUAAAAAUGGUAUGAAUAUACGUGGUGGAUCCCAACUCAUUACGGAGGUCCUCAUAAAGUUUUUCAGAAAAAAGUUUUGGAACGAAAAUUUGAAGAUUUUGGUUAAUUCCUAAAAAAAAAUAUGUAAAUGCAGAAAAAUGUUUUUUAAAUGGUGUGAGUAUCCGUUGUGGUUCCAUUACUCAUUAUAGUGGUCCUCAUAAAGUUUUUUGAGAAAAAAAUUGGGUUCUCUAGGGCGCCAAAUCCAUGGGCUAUAACACACGAAAAAUUGAGAAUUUUGAGUAAUUGUUAAAAAGGGGCUGUAAAUGCGGAAAUAAGCGUUAAAAAUGGUGUGAGUAAACGUGGUGGUCCCCAAUUCAUUAAGGAAGUCCUCAUAAAAAUUUUUGAGAAAAAAAUUUGGGAUGCUCUGGGCGCCAGAUCCAUGGUCUUAUAACACACGAAUAAUCGAGGAUUUUGGUUAAUUCUUAAAAAGGCUUGUAAAUGCGAAAAUAAGCAUUAAAAAAUUGUGAGAGUAUAAGUGGUGGUUCCCCAACUCAUUACGGAGGUUCUCAUAAAUUUUAUGAGAAAAAAAUUUAUGGUGCUCUGGGCGCUUGAUCCAUGUGCUAUAACACAUGAAAAAUCAAAGAUUUUGGGUAAUAUCUAUAAAAGGGCUUGUAAAUGCGGAAAUGGAAAUUAAAAAUGGUAUGAGUAUACAUGGUGGUUUCCCAACACGUAAUGGAGAUCCUCAAUAUGUUUUUUGAGAAAAAAAUUUGGGUUCUCCGAGGCGCCAAAUCCAUGGGCUGUAACACACGAAAAAAUCAAAGAUUUUGGGAGAUUCCUAAGAAAGGGUAUGAAUGCGUAAAUAGGCAUUAAAACAAUGGUGCGAGUAUACGUGGUUGUUCCCCAACUUAUUAAGGAGGUCCUCAAAAAGUUUUUUGAGAAUUUUUUUUUUGGAUGCUUUGGGACACCAGUUCCAUUGGCUAUAACACACAAAAAAUCAAGUAAUUUGGGUAAUUCUUAAAAAGGUCUGUAAAUGCAGAAAUAGGCGUUAAAAAAAACGGGUGUGAGUAUACGUCGUGGUUCCCCAACUCAUUAUGGAAAUCCCCAUAAAUAUUUUUGAGACAAAAAAUUGGUGCUUCGGGAGCCAGAUUCAUGGGCUAUAACACACGAAAAAUUGAGGAUUUUGGGUAAUUCUUAAAAAAGGGUUUAUAAAUGAGGAAACAUGCGUUUCAAAAAUUGUGUGAGUAUACGUGGUGGUUCCCAACUCAUUACAGAGGUCCUAAAAAAGUUUUUUGAGAAAUAUUUUAGGGAGCUCCGCGGAGUUAGAUCCAUGGGCUAUAACACAUGAAAAAUUGAGGAUUUUUGGUAAUUCUUUAAAAAGGGCCUAUAAAUGCUGAAAUUUGCAUUAAAAUGGUGUAAGUAUACGUGGUGGUUCCCAACUCAUUACAGAGGUCCUAAAAAAGUUUUUUGAGAAAUAUUUUAGGGAGCUCCGCGGAGUUAGAUCCAUGGGCUAUAACACAUGAAAAAUUGAGGAUUUUUGGUAAUUCUUUAAAAAGGGCCUAUAAAUGCUGAAAUUUGCAUUAAAAUGGUGUAAGUAUACGUGGUGGUUCCUAAAAUCAUUACGGAGUUCCUCAUAAAGUUUUUUUAGAAAAUAACUUUGGGUUUUCCUAGGCGUCAGAAGCAUGGGCUAUAACACACGAAAAAUUGAAGAUUUUGAGUAAUUCCUAAAAAAGGGUUGUUAAAUGCGGAAAUAGGUGUUAAAAUGCUCUGAGUAUACGUGAUGGUUCCCCAACUCUUUACGGAGGUUCUCAUAAAGUUUUUUGAGAAAAAAACUUUGGGUGCUCAAGGCGCUAGAUCCAUGGGAUAUAACACACGAAAAAUUGAGGCUUUUGGGUAAUUUCUAAAAAAGGCCUUGUAAAUGUGGAAAUAUGUGUUAAAAAUUGUGUGAGUAUACGUGGUCGUGCCCCAACUCAUUACGAAGGUCCUCAUAAAAAAAUUUAAGAAAAACUUUUUGGGUCCUACAAAGCGCCAUAUUCAUGGGCUAUAACACAUGAAAAAUUAAGGAUUUUGGGUAAUUCCUAAAUAAAAAGGGGUUGUAAAUGCGGGAAUAGGAGUAAAAAAAAUUGUCUGAGUAUACGUGAUAGUUCACUAAUUCUUUACGGAGGUGCUCACAAAAUUUUUUGAGAAAUUUUUUUUUAGUGCUCAGGAGCGCCAGAUCCAUGAACUUUAACACACGAAAAAUUGAGGAUUUUGAGUAAUUUCUAAAAAAAGGCUUGUAUAUGCGAAAAAUAGGUGUCUAAAAAUAUAGUGCGAGUAUACGUGGUGAUUUCCUAACUCAUUACGGAGGUUCUCAUAAUUUUUUUGAGAAAGAAACUUUAGGUGCUCCGGGUACCAGAUCCAAGGGUUAUAACGCACAAAAAAUUGAGGAUUUUGGAUAAUUCCUAAUAAAUGGCUUGUAAAUGCGGAAAUGGGGGUUUUAAAUGGUGUGAGUAUACGUGCCGGUUCUCCAAAUCAUUACGGAGGUCAUCAUAAAAUUUUCUGAGAAAAAAAUUUAGGGUGCUCCGAGGUGCUAGAUCUAUUUCCUAUACACACGAAAAAUCGAGGAUUUUUAGUAAUUUCUAUAAAGGGCUUAUAAAUGCAGAAAUAGGAAUUUAAAAAUAUAGCGUGAGUAUACAUGGUUGUUCCCCAACUCAUUCGGGAGGUCCUCAUAACUUUUUGAGGAAAAAACUUUCGGUUCUCCUGGACGCCAGAACCAAGGGCAAUAACACACAAAAAAUUGAGGGUUUUGGGUUAUUUCUAAAAAGAGCCUGAAAAUGCAAAAAUAGACUUUAAAAAAAUGGUGUGAAUAUAUGUGGUGGUUAACCAACUCAUUACGAAGCUCCACAUAAAGUUUUUUUGACAAAAAAGUUUUAGGUGCUCCAGGCGCCAGAUCCAUGGGCUAAAACGCACGAAAAAUUGAGGAUUUUGGGUAAUUCACAAAAAAUGACUUGUAAAUUCAGAAAUAAGUGUUAAAAAUGGUGUGAGUAUACGUGGUGGUUCCCCAACUCAUUACGAGGUCCUCAUAAAGUGUUUUGAGAAAAAAAAAUUAGGUGCUCCGGGGUGCUAGAUCCAUGGGAUAUAACACACGAACAAUUGAGGAUUUUAGGUAAUUUCUCAAAAAGGGCCUUUAAAUGCGAAAAUGGGCGUUAAAAUGGUGUGAGUAUGUGUGGUGGUUCCCCAACUCAUUGUGGAGGUCAUCAUAAAGUUUUUUGAGAAAAAAAAAUUUAGGUACUCCGGGGCAUUAGAUCCAUGGGCUAUAACACACGAAAAAUUGAGGAUUUUAGAUAAUUCCUAACAAAGGGCAUGUAAAUGCGGAAAUAUGCCUUAAUAAAAUGGUGUGAGCAUACGUGGUGAUUCCCAACUCAUUACGGAAUCCUCAUAAAGUUUUUUGAAGAAAAAAAUUGGGUGCUCGGGAUGCCAGAUCCUUGGGCUAUAACACACGAAAAAUAGGGAUUUUGGGUAAUUUCUUAAAAAGGGAAUGUAAAUGCGGAAAUAGGUGUUAAAAAUGCUGUGAAUAUUCGUGGUGGUUCUCCAACACAUUACAGAGCUCCUCAAACGAUUUUUUGAUUAAAAAAAAAAAUUGGUGCUCCAUGGCGCCAGAUUCAUGGGCUAUAACACACGAAAAAGCGAGAAUUUUGGAUAAUUCCUAAAAAAGGGCUAGUAAAUGCAAAAAUAGGUGUUAAAAAUGGUGUGAGUAUACAUGGUGGUCCCCAACUCAUUACGGAGGUACUCAUAAAGUUUUUUGACAAAAAAAAAUUUGGGUGCUCUGGGGCAUCAGAUCUAUGGUGCUAUAUAUAUAACACACGAAAAUUGAGAAUUUUGAGUAAUUCCUAAGGCCUGCAAAUGCGGAAAUAGGUGUUAAAAAAAUAAUGUGAAUAUACGUGGUAGUUCCCUGACUCAUUACAGAGGUCCUCAUAAGGUUUUUUUAAAAAACAAAUUGGGUGCUCCGAGGCGCUAUAUCCAUGGGUUAUAAGACAUGAAAAAUCAAGUAUUUUGGGUAUUUUCUAAAAAAUGGCAUGUAAGUGCAAAAAUAAGCGUUAAAAAUGGUGUGAGUAUAUGUGGUGGUUUCCCAACUCAUUAUGGAGGUCCUCAUAUAGAUUUUUGAGAAAAAAAUUUGGUGCUCCGGGGAGUCUGAUCCAUGGGCUAUAACACAUGAAAAUCGAGGAUGUUGGGUAAUUCCUAAAAAAAGGGCCUUUAAAUGCGGAAAUAGGCGUUAAAAAAUUGUGUCAAUAUACGUGGUGGUUCCCAACUCAUUACGGAGGUAAUCAUAAAGUUUUUUGAGAAAAAAAAAUUGGAUACUCCGGGGCGCCAGAUCCAUUGUCUAAACAUUCAAAAAAUUGAGGAUUCUGGGUAAUUCCCAAAAAAUGGCCUAUAAAUGCGAAAAUAGAUGUUCAAAAAAUUGUGUGAGUAUACAUGGUGGUUCCCAACUCAUUCGGAAGUCCUCAUAAAUUUUUUUGAGAAAAACUUUUUGGGUGCUUCAGGGCACCAAAUCCAUAGGCAAUAACACACGAAAAUCUCGAAUUUUGGGUAAUUUCUAAAAAAAAGGGUCUGUAAAUGCGGAUAUAGGUGUUAAAAAAUUUGUGUGAGUACAGGUAGUGGUUUCUCAACUCAUUACGGAGGUCCUCAUAAAGGUUUUUGAGAAAAAAAAUUGAGGAUAUUCUAAAAAAGGGCAUGUAAAUGCUGAAAUAGGCGUUAAAAAAUGGUGUCAGUAUACGCGGUGGUUUCCCAAUUCAUUACGAAGGUCCUAAUAAAGUUUUUUGAGAAAAAAAAAUUAGGUGCUCCGGGUCGCCUGAUCCAUGGGCUAUAACAUACAAAAAAUCGAGGAUUCUUGGUAAUUCCUAAAAAGGGCCUAUAAAUGCGGAUCUGCUCAUUACAGAGGUCCUAAUAAAGUUUUUUGUGAAAAAAAAAUUUGGGUGCUCUGGGGAGCCAGAUCUAUAGGCUAUAACACAUGGAAAAUUUAGGAUUUUAGGUAAUUCCUAAAAAAGGCCCUGUAAAUGUGGAAAUUGGCAUUGUGUGAGUAUACGUAGUGGUUCCCCAACUCUUUACGGAGGUCCUCAUUAAGUUUUUUGAGAAAACGAUUUUGGGUGCUUCGAGGCGCCAUAUCCAUGGGCUAUAACACUCAAAAAAUCUAGGAUUUAGGGUAAUUCUUUAUAAAGGGUCUGUAAAUUCGGAAAUAGGCAUUUAAAAUGGUGUGAGUAUACGUGGUGGUUCCCCAACUCAUUACGUAGGUCCUCAUAAAGUUUUUUGUGAACAAAUUUUUUGGCCUAUAACACACGAAAAAUCGAGGAUUUUUUGUCAUUCUUCAAAAAGGGCCUGUAAAUGUGGAAAUAGGCAUUAAAAUGGUGUGAGUAUACAUGGUGGUUUCCCAACUCAUUACAGAGGUCCUCAUAAAGUUUUUUGAAAAAGAGAUUUUGGGUGAUUCAGAGCGCCAAAUCCAUGGGUUAUAACACAUAAAAAAUUGAGGAUUUUGGGUACUUCCCAAAAAAGGGCCUGUAAAUGCGGAAAUAGACGUUAAAAAUGGUGUGAGUAUAUGUGGUGGUUCCUCAACUCAUUGUGAAGGUACUCAUGAAGUUUUUUGAGAAAAAAAAUUUGGGUUCUCACGAACGCUAGAUCCAUGGGCUAUAACACACAUAAAAUCGAGGAUUUUGGAUAAUUCCUAAAAAGGGACUGUAAAUGCGGAAAGUGACGUUAAAAAUUAAUGUGAGUAUACGUGAUUGUUCCCCAACUCAUUACGUAUGUCCUAUAAAUUUAUUUGAGAAAAAAAUUGAGUGCUUCGGGGCACCAGAUCCAUAGGUUAUAGCACACGAAAAAUCGAGGAUUUUAGAUAAUUCGUAAAAAAGGUCUGAAAAUGUGGAAAUAGGCGUUAAAAAGUGGUGUGAGUAUACAUGGUGGUUCCCCAACUCACUGCGUAGGUCCUCAUAAAGUUUUUUGAGAAAAUAAUAUUUGGUGCUCUGGAGCGGCAGACAAUGGGCUAUACACACGAAAAAUCGAGGAUAUUGGGUAAUUUCCAAAAGAGGUCUCGUAAAUGCGGAAAUAUGCGUUAAAAAUGGUGUGAGUAUACGUGGUGGUUCUCCAACUCAUUACAGAGGUCAUCAUAAAGUUUUUAUCGAAAAAAAAUUUGGGUUCUCCGGGGCGCUAGAUCCAUGGGAUAAAACACACGAAAAAUCAAGAAUUUUGAGUAAUUCCUAAAAAAAGGGUGUGUAAAUGCGGAAAUAGGCGUUAACAAAAUGGCGUGAACAUACGUGGUGGUUCCCCAACUCAUUACGGAGGUCCUCAUGAAGUUUUUUGAGAAUAUAAAUUUGGGUGCUCUGGGGCGCCAUAUCCAUGGGAUAUAACACAAGAAAAAAUUGAGGAUUUUGGGUUAUUUCUAAAAAAAAAAAUUGUAAAUGCGGAAAUAAGCGUUAAAAAAUGGUGUGAGUAGACUUGGUGGUUCCCCUACUCAUUACAAAGCUCCUCAUAAAGUUUUUUGAGAAAACAAUUUGGGUACUCUAGGGCACUAGAUCGUUGAGCUAAACACAAAAAAUUGAGGAUUUUGGAUAAUUUCUAAAAAGGGCUUGUAAAUGCGAAAAUAGGCGUUAAAAAUGGUGUAAGUAUAUGUGGUGGUUCCCCAACUUAUUGCGGAGGUCCUCAUAAAGUUUUUUUUUGAUAAAAAAAAAUUGGGUGCUCCGGAGCGCUGAUGUGCCGCGAAAUCUUGGCACAUUUGAUGCUUGAAAACUAAGGAUUAAUACUAGAAUCGAGUGUAUUUAUGUGGAUAUGAAGUGUUUGGUAGUGUUUGUGCAGGUAAAACAUGUGGACUUGAAAGAAGAAAGAAAAGAAGAAAAUGCAGAGUGAAAGUGAAUUGAACCAAGUGAAGAUCACGAACACUUAGACGGGCCAUGAAGAUCAUGACUGAUCGUGAUAUGGCUCGUGAAUUAGAACCAGUGAGAAGGCAUGGAAGAAUUACAUUUUAGUGGAGCAAGUAAGGACCACGGACGACCUUAUGGGCCGUGGUUCUCACAACGGUUCGUGGAGGUGAUCGUGAAGUGGAUCCAGUAAAUAGGCAUCAAAAAGCUGAAGAGUGAAUUGGCCAAGUGAAGACCACGGGCACCUAUACGAACCGUGGUCAUUGUCACGACCCGGGGUGAUGUUCGUGGUGCUUUUUCAGUGUGCAGGCCUUAAAGACCCAAGUUUGGAGAGGUGCCAAGUAAAGACCACGAAGGGCAUCACGGACCGUCAAGGCACUCGUGAAUAUGCGCAACAGAUCAUUCCUACUUCGAGUAGGACUCUUUUUAGACACUUUAUUUGAAUUAAUUAGGUCGUUUAUUGUUUUUAUCUUGUCAUAUCUGGAACGAGCGGCGAUGGUUGAAGUACUCUUGACUUUAGUUUUUAUCGAUUAACAUUGAAUCGAUCUUGGAAGUUGGAUUUUGAUUUUUCUCAAUAUCAAGCGUUCAUUGAAUUUGCAGAUUUUCGUAAGUAAACUUUCUUAAUGUUUUCAUUACUAAUCUUUGUUCAUUUAGUAGAAAUCAUGAGUGGCUAAACACCACAACUAGGAUUGUGGGAACUAUGACAGAAAUCUAAACGCGAAUUCGUAACACGAGUAGAAGGUGAAUUGUAUUUGCAAUAUUUAACUCAACUUUCGUUGUUCAUUUGUUCUAAUGAGUGCACGUAUUAGAGUCAGCAUGUAUCUAUCAAUUCUUUGACAGAAAAGAGAUAGUUGGGAAAAAGCGGAGAGAAAAGCGAACUUUAACAUCAUUGUACGCGGGGGUAGAAUUUGUUAAUGCUCAAGGAUCGAGAGGAAUUGAGUGAAAAUUAUCUAACUAGACUGAGAAGUGUUAGAUAUAGUCAACUCGCUUAUAAUUUGCAAAGACUAAAUUACCUGAAACUCAGUUACGGAUGAACAAUAGAUGUAAUGUCAUGGAAAACACAACCCUGGUUCUAUUUAUUUAUCAAAACAACUUUAGAAUCAACACUCUGUUAAUUGUUAAUCUGGAUUUAUUUUAACAAUCUUAGUUACUAAAAUUUUACAGCUAAACCCAAUUUACAUUUUGUAAUUGUUUUCUCUAGGAAAUAAUAAUAACAUUUGGGUAAACGCGACAGUGAAAUCAUUUAUGUAAAGAAAUUCUCUGUGGGAUCGACCUCAACUCACGUUGAGUUCUAUAAAUUGACUUUGACCGUUUAUAAUUCUUAAUUGAAGUGUAAGUUUGGACGUAUCAAGCGUCAGAUCCAUGGGCUAUACACACAAAAAAACCGAGGAUUUUUGGUAAUUGCUAAAAAAGGGACAGUAAAUGCGGAAAUAGGUGUUAAAAAUGGUGUGAGUAUACGUGGAGGUUCCCCAACUCAUUACUUAGGUACGCAUAAAGGUUUUUGAGAAAAAAGUUUUGGGUGCACCGGGGCGCCAGAACAAUGGGCUAACACGAAAAAUUGAGGAUUUUGGGUAAAUCCUAAAAAUGGCCUAUAAAUGCGAAAAUAGGUGUUAAAAAAAUGGUGUGAGUAUAUGUAGUGAUUCCCCAACUCAUUACGGAGGUCCUCAUAUUUUUUGUUGAGAAAACAAUUUUGGAUGCUCCGAGGCGCCCGAUCAAUGGGCUAUAACAUACGAAAAAUCGAGGAUUUUGGAUAAUUCUUAAAAAGGGCAUGUGAAUGCGGUAAUAAACGUUAAAAAUGGUGUGAGUAUACGUGGUGGUUUCCCAACUAAUUACGGAGGUCCUCAUAAAGAUUUUUGAGUAAAAAAUUUAGGGUUCUCCGGGGUGCCAAAUCCAUGGUCAUAACAUACGAAAAAUCGAUGAUUUUGGGUAAUUCCUAAAAAAGGGUCUAUAAAUGCAUAAAUAGGCGUUAAAAAUGGUGUGAGUAUACGUGGUGGUUCCCUAACUCACUACGGAGGUCCUCAUAAUAUUUUUGAGAAAAACAAUUCGGGUGCUCUGAAGCGCUAGAUCUAUAGGCUAUAACACAUGAAAAAUUGAGGAAUUUGGGUAAUUUCUAGAAAAAAAGGCUUGUAAAUGCGAAAAUAGGCAUUAAAAAUGGUGUGAGAAUACGUGGUGGUUCCCCAACUCAUUACGGAAGUCCUCAUAAAGUUUUUUGAGAAAAAAAUUUGUGGUGCUCCGGGGCACCAGAUUCAUGGGCUAUAACGCAUGAAAAAUCGAGGAUUUUGGGUAAUUCUAAAAAAGGGCUUGUAAUAGGAAAUAGUCGUUAAAAAAAUGGUGUGAGUAUACGUCGUGGUUCCCAAACUCAUUACGGAGGUCCUCAUAAAGUUUUUUGAGAAAAAAAUCUUGGGUGCUCCGCGGCGCCAGAUCCAUGGGUUAUAUAACACACGAAAUAUCGAGGAUUUUGGGUAAUUCCUAAUAAAAGGCCUGCAAAUUCAAAAAUAGGCAUUCUAAUAUGGUGUGAGUAUACGUGGUGGUUCCCCAAAUAAUUACGGAGAUCCUCAUAAAGUUUUUUGAGGAAAAAAAAUUAGGUGCUUAGGGGCGCCAAAUCCAUGGGUUAUAACACACGAAAAAUUGAGUAAUUUGGGUAAUUCCUAAAAAGUGCCUCUAAAUGCAACAAUAGUCGUUAAAAAAAGGUGUGAGUAUACGUGGUGGUUCUCUAACUCAUUACGGAGGUCCUCAGAAAGUUUUUUGAGAAAAUAUAAUUUAGGGUGCUCCGGGGCACCAGAUCCAUAGGCUAUAUAACACAUGAAAAAUCGAAGAUUUUGCGUAAUUCCUAAAUGGUGUGAGUAUACGUGGUGGUUCCUCAACUCAUUAUGGAGGUCCUCACAAAGUUUUUUGAGAAAAAAAAUUCAGUGCUCCAAGCGCUAGAUCCAUGUGCUAUAAAACACGAAAAAUCGAGAAUUUUGGUUAAUUCCUAAAAAAGGCUUGUAAAUAAGGAAAUAGGCGUUAAAAAUUAUGUGAGUAUAUAUGGUGGUUCCCCAACUCAUUACGAAGGUUCUCAUAAUAUUUUUUGAGAAAAGAAUUUUGGGUGCUCUGGGGCACCAGAUCAUUGGGCUAUAACAAACGAAAAAUUGAGGAUUUUGGGUAAUUCAUAAAAAAGGGCCUCUAAGUGCGGAAAUAGGCAUUAAAAAUGGUGUGAGUAGAUGUGGUGGUUCCCCAACUCAUUACGGAGGUCCUUAUAAAGUUUUUUGAGAAAAAAAAUUAGGUGCUCCAGGCGCCAGAUCCAUGGGCUAUAACACAUGAAAAAUUGAGGAUUUUGGGUAAUUCCUAAAAAGGGACUUGUAAAUGUGAAAAUAGGCAUUAAAAAAAUGGUGUGUAUACGUGGUGGUGCCCCAAAUCAUGACGGAUGUCCUCAUAAAAAAUUUUGAGAAUAAAAUUUUGGGUGCUCUGAGGUGCCUAAUCCAUGGGCUAUAACACACGAAAAAUCGAGAAUUUUGGGUAAUUUCUAAAAAAAAGCAUGUAAAUGCUGCAAUAGGCGUUAAAAAGAUAGUGUGAGUAUACGUUGUGGUUCUCCAACUCAUUAGGGAGGUCCUGAUAAAGCUUUUUAAGAAAAAAUUAUGGUUGCUCUGGGUGCCAGAUCCAUGGGCUAUAACACACGAAAAAUCGAGAAUUUUGGGUAAUUUCUAAAAAAAAGCAUGUAAAUGCUGCAAUAGGCGUUAAAAAGAUAGUGUGAGUAUACGUUGUGGUUCUCCAACUCAUUAGGGAGGUCCUGAUAAAGCUUUUUUAAGAAAAAAAUUAUGGUUGCUCUGGGUGCCAGAUCCAUGGGCUAUAACACACGAAAGAUCGAGGAUUUUGGGUAAUUCCUAAGAAAGGGCUUUAAAAUGCCGAAAUAGGCGUUAAAAUGGUAUGAGUAUACAUGGUGGUUCCCCAACUCACUAUGGAGGUCCUCGUAAACUUUUUUGAGAUAAAAAUUUUGGGUGAUCCGGGGCACCAGAUCUAUAGGCUAUAUAACACUAGAAAAAUCGAGGAUUUUGGCUAAUUCCUAAAAAAGGGCAUGUAAAUGUGGAAAUAGGCGUUAAAAAUAUGGUGUGAGUAUACGUGGUGGUUUCCCAACUAAUUACGGAGGUCCUCAUAAUAUUUUUUGAGAAAAUAAUUUUUGGUGCUCCAAGCCAGAUCCAUGGGCUAUAUUAACACAUGAAAAAUUGAGGAUUUUGGAUAAUUCCUAAAAGAGGGCCUGUAAAUGCGGAAAUAUGAGUUAAAAAUAUGGUGUGAGUAUACGUGGUGGUUCCCCAACUCAUUACAGAGGUCCUCAUAAUUUUUUUUGAGGAAAGAAUAUUUGGUGCUCCGGGUGCCAGAUCCAUGGGCUAUUAUAACACACACAAAAUUGAGGAUUUUGUGUAAUUUCUUAAAAAAAGCUUGUAAAUGCGGAAAUAGGCGUUAAAAAAUGGUGUGAGUACACGUGGUGGUUCCCCAACUCAUUACGGAGGUCCUCAAAAUGAUUUUUGAGAAAAAAAUGUUGGGUGCUUCCGGGCGCCAGAUCCAUGAGAUAUAACACACGAAAAAUUGAGGAUUUUGGGUAAUUCCUAAAACGGGGUCUUCAUAUGCGGAAAUAGGCAUUAAAAAAAUGGUGUGAGUAUACGUGGUGGUUCCCCAACUCAUUACGGAGGUCCUCAUUAAAUUUUUUGAGAAAAAAAUUUUGGGUGCUCCGCGGCCAAAUCCAUGGCUAUAAGUCUAUAACACACGAAAAAUCGAGGAUUUUGGGUAAUUUAUAAAAAAAAAAAAGACUUGUAAAUUUGAAAAUAGACGUUAAAAAUGGUGUGAGUAUACAUGAUGGCUCCCCAACUCAUUACAGAGGUCCUCAUAAUGUUUUUUAAGAAAAAAAAACUGGGUGUUCCGGCACUAGAUCCAUGGGCACACACGAAAAAUCGAGGGUUUUGGGUAAUUUUAAAAAAGGGCCUGCAAGGCGGAAAUAGACUUUAAAAAAUGGUUUGAGUAUACGUGGUGGUUCCCCAACUCAUUACGGAGGUCCUCAUAAAGUAUUUUGAGAAAAUAAUUUUGGGUGCUCCGAGGCUCUAGAUCCAUGGGCUAUAACACGAGAAAAUCGAGGAUUUUUGGUAAUUCCUAAAAUAGGUCUUGUAUGCAGAAAUAUGCAUUAAAAUGGUGUGAGUAGACGUGGUGGUUCCCCAAAUCCUUAAGGAGGUCCUCAUAAAUUUUUUUGAGAAAAAAAAAUUGGAUGUUAUGGGGCGCCAGAUCCAUAGGUUAUAAUACACGAAAAAUCGAGGAUUUUUGAUAAUUCCUAAAAAAGGGGCUUGUAAAUGCUGAAAUAGGCGUUAAAAAAAUGGUGUGAGUAUACGUGGUGUUUUUUCAACUCAUUACAAAGAUUCUUAUAAAAAGUAAAGGGUAUCACAUAAAUUGCCAUAGAGGGAUAAUUAAAAGUGUUUAUCAUAUGAUUGCUUUAAACAAUAGAAGAAGGCACAACAGAAUGAUUAACAUUGAUUCUCCAUAAUUUCAAAUAGAUUUGGAAGACUCAAUUCUCAUAAAUUCUUUAUUUAGAUAGUCUCUCUUAACAGGUUGCCCACUACACAGCCCCUUUACGAAAGAGGUAUUACCAACAAUACCAUAUGUCAUGCCAACGGUCAAGAACCUAAAAUUAUGGGGUUGUUUGGUAGGCCGCAUUAAAAGAAAUAGUCAAUGUAUUAUGUAUGCUAUUAUUUAGUAUUACUAUGUUUGGUAGAAAUUAGAGUCUAUGUAUAACUAAUACAUGAAUCAGCUAUACAUCCUAUAUGGUAUUAUAGGAUGUAUUACUAAUACCUUCCAUUUGGAGGUAUUAGUAAUACAUAGGAUAUAAUACCAUGGAAUAAGUUAAUGUAAAGACAAAAAUAUCCCUCAAAUCAUUUUAAUUAUUUUCUUGAUUUUACGUUUUAUAUUUGUACUAGUAAAAUUAUUUAAAUAAAUUAGCUUACAAAUUAUUUAAAGAGAGUUGUUUGUUACUAAUUAAAUCCAACACAAAUUUGAAAUGUGAGUUAUUUAACAUUUACUAAUUAAAAAGGCAAAUAUAUCACUACAUGACGUUUGCAAUCUUAAUUUAAUGUAUUAUGAACAAUUUAAAAAAUUACAUACAUAUUAAAGGGAAAAUGCAUAAGUACCCCCAACAUAUGCCCAAAAUCUCAGAGACACACUUGUACUAUACUAAGGUCUUAUUACCCCCCCCCCCGAACUUAUUUUAUAAAUAAUUUUCUACCCCUUUUCGGCCUACGUGGCAGUAUCUUCUGAGCCCAACGCGUGUUGACAAUUUUUUUCAAACUAUCUGGUUGACAGUGCCACGUAGGCCGAAAAGGGGUAGAAAAUUAUUUAUAAAAUAAGUUCGGGGGGUAAUAGGACCUUAGUAUAGUAUAAGUGUGUCUCUGGGAUUUCAGGCAUAGGUUGGGGGGUACUUAUGCACUUUCCCACAUAUUAAAACUAUAACUUGCAUUUUUUAUGUGUAAAUGUAGAUGGUUUAUUCAAUCUUACCAUUGUUGACCAAUUUUCAAUUUUAAAAGUAGAUGGUUUAUCUUUUUUAAAUUGAAAAUAAACAUCUUGUGAGUGAUCAAUUAAUAAAGAUAACAAUUAUUUAUCCUCAAACAAUUCAAGUGAAAAAAUAGGAAACAUGACAACAAAAUCGUUCUUUCUCAUAGCUAUUGAAUAUUGUCUACUAACUAAGAAACAAUAGAUAGGAAAAGAUAAUGUACUCAAAGUUGCUACAUAAAAUGGUAAACCACUGGAUGAAUGUACUUGUAAACUCAAGAAUAGAGAAACAUGUAGACUCCAAGAGGAAUCGAUGGAGUAAUCAGAGAAACACAGAAACUGGAUUAUAGGGUUCAGCAAGAAUAUUCCAUACACAACAAACAUCUAUGCUGAAAUCAUGGCACUAAAAACAGGUUUGAAAAUAAUUUACCCCCUGGUUUUUCUGUCUUCGUUUGAAAAUAAUUGUCCAGGUACAAGAUAUCCUAGACAAAUCAAGCUAUGUAAUUAACUGUUCUAGUAUUAAUGAAAAUUAGUCCUUUUUCGGCCGAAAAAAGGAUAGAGCUAGAACAAGAUUGAUCUUUGACAACAGAAAGGAUGAUCAGUUCUCCUCAUUUGCGAUCCAGGUAUGAGAAGAAAUAGGUGUGCUCAAUAGAGGGGAGGCACAUAAUGGCAGAUGACGAUAAGGUUUUGCAAAAUAAAAGCCUUUUUGAAUUCUGUCUUGUUUUCCAGGUUCCAUGCUCCCUUGUGCAAUAUGCUAAGUCAAUAUUGAUGGCACAUCAUGGAGUGGAUGGCCUUUGCUGUUUCUUUCCAUAACCCUUCGAGCAAGAGAAACUUGCUUCCCAACGACAAAUAUGAAUGCCUUUCCUUUUCCUCCAGCACCCCUGGCAGUUCUGCCAACACGACGUACAUAUUCACUAGGGUCUCGGGGAUAAUCAAAGAGGACUACGUGGUCUACACCUUCAAAGUCAAUACCUCGGGAUGCUCUGCAACAUUGUUUAGAAGACAUCAGUUCAGAUUUCUUGUCCCUUCUUCUAGUGAGGGAAACAGCUGAAGUGCGU